CCUACGGGCGUCAGCAGUGAGGAAUAUUGGUCAAUGGUCGCGAGCCUGAACCAGCCAAGUCGCGUGAGGGAAGACGGUCCUAUGGAUUGUAAACCUCUUUUGUCGGGGAGCAAAAGACGCCACGCGUGGCGUUUCGAGAGUACCCGAAGAAAAAGCAUCGGCUAACUCCGUGCCAGCAGCCGCGGUAAUACGGAGGAGGCAAGCGUUAUCCGGAAUGACUGGGCGUAAAGGGUGCGUAGGUGGUUUGACAAGUUGGUAGCGUAACUCCGGAGCUCAACUUCGGCACUAAUACCAAAACUGUUGGACUUGAGUGCAGGAGGGGCAACUGGAAUUUCUAGUGUAGCGGUGGAAUGCGUAGAUAUUAGGAAGAACACCGGUGGCGAAGGCGAGUUGCUGGACUGUAACGGACACUGAGGCACGAAAGCGUGGGGAGCAAACAGGAUUAGAUACCCGGGUAGUC
This 460-nucleotide ribosomal RNA is filed under the name uncultured bacterium. RNAcentral's name for it is "partial 16S ribosomal RNA". It matches the Rfam family "Bacterial small subunit ribosomal RNA", at positions 338 to 795 of the family's 1533-position model. The record is from RNAcentral.